RNAcentral lists this ribosomal RNA (468 nucleotides) under uncultured bacterium. Its description in RNAcentral is "partial 16S ribosomal RNA". It matches the Rfam family "Bacterial small subunit ribosomal RNA", at positions 28 to 507 of the family's 1533-position model. The record is from RNAcentral.
GACGAACGCUGGCGGCGUGCUUAACACAUGCAAGUCGAACGGAAAGGCCCUGCUUUUGUGGGGUGCUCGAGUGGCGAACGGGUGAGUAACACGUGAGUAACCUGCCCUUGACUUUGGGAUAACUUUAGGAAACUGGGGCUAAUACCGGAUAGGAGCUCCUGCUGCAUGGUGGGGGUUGGAAAGUUUCGGCGGUUGGGGAUGGACUCGCGGCUUAUCAGCUUGUUGGUGGGGUAGUGGCUUACCAAGGCUUUGACGGGUAGCCGGCCUGGGAGGGUGACCGGCCACAUGGGGACUGAGAUACGGCCCGGACUCCUACGGGAGGCAGCAGUGGGGAAUAUUGCACAAUGGGCGGAAGCCUGAUGCAGCAACGCCGCGUGCGGGAUGACGGCCUUCGGGUUGUAACCCGCUUUCGCCUGUGACGAAGCGUGAGUGACGGUAAUGGGUAAAGAAGCACCGGCUAACUACGUG